RNAcentral lists this ribosomal RNA (585 nucleotides) under uncultured bacterium. RNAcentral's name for it is "bacterial SSU rRNA". It matches the Rfam family "Bacterial small subunit ribosomal RNA", at positions 338 to 916 of the family's 1533-position model. The record is from RNAcentral.
CCUACGGGAGGCAGCAGUGGGGAAUUUUGGACAAUGGGCGAAAGCCUGAUCCAGCAAUGCCGCGUGAGUGAAGAAGGCCUUCGGGUUGUAAAGCUCUUUUGUCAGGGAAGAAACGGUGAGAGCUAAUAUCUCUUGCUAAUGACGGUACCUGAAGAAUAAGCACCGGCUAACUACGUGCCAGCAGCCGCGGUAAUACGUAGGGUGCAAGCGUUAAUCGGAAUUACUGGGCGUAAAGCGUGCGCAGGCGGUUUUGUAAGUCUGAUGUGAAAUCCCCGGGCUCAACCUGGGAAUUGCAUUGGAGACUGCAAGGCUAGAAUCUGGCAGAGGGGGGUAGAAUUCCACGUGUAGCAGUGAAAUGCGUAGAUAUGUGGAGGAACACCGAUGGCGAAGGCAGCCCCCUGGGUCAAGAUUGACGCUCAUGCACGAAAGCGUGGGGAGCAAACAGGAUUAGAUACCCUGGUAGUCCACGCCCUAAACGAUGUCUACUAGUUGUCGGGUCUUAAUUGACUUGGUAACGAAGCUAACGCGUGAAGUAGACCGCCUGGGGAGUACGGUCGCAAGAUUAAACGUCAAAGGAAUUGACGG